RNAcentral lists this long non-coding RNA (2460 nucleotides) under Mytilus galloprovincialis (Mediterranean mussel). The record is from RNAcentral. Lineage: Eukaryota; Metazoa; Mollusca; Bivalvia; Mytilida; Mytilidae.
UUUGUUUCUGUUUUGUUUUCCUUAGAAAUCGUUUUAUAUUUUUUUAUUUCAUAGAUAACAGUUCUAGCAGUUUGACUGCAAAUAAAAACUGAAUGUCAUAGCAGUUUAACUGCACAUAAAAUGAUUUGUAUAGCAGUGUGUCUGCUAAAGUGUUAUUCAUUUGUGAAGACAAAGUAAUAAACAGUCACUUAUAAUCCUAGCUACAAGUUAGUUUAUACCUCACGAAAAAAAUAACAAGACUACAGAAAAAAUAUACAUUUAAUUUGUAAACUACAAUGCACAUAGGCGGAUCCGCCACUGAUGCAGUAUUUAUAUGUACAAUCAUUUAAACAAUUGUCUUUUUAUCAAUGAUAAUUGUAAAAGAAGUAAAAAUUCUACACAAAAUUGAAACAAAAAUGAUAUACAUGAAUACGUUUUUACAAUUUAGAUAUAAAACAUAAAAUGAGAGAAAAUCUGAUAUUUUAAAGGAAAACUAAACAUGAAACAAAUGGCUUUAUUAGAAAGGACAACCAAGUUGUCUAGAGUGAUACUAUUGUACUGUGUUUUAGUGUUUAUAGUUUUGUCAUUGUGUAGUUGAUAUAGAUGUGUGAAUGAAAUCCAGAUUUGUUGGUAUGCAUGUCAUGUUGUGCAAGUAAAACAGGGGAGGUAAUUCAGAUUUGUUAGAAUCAUUUUAUGUGACUUCAUUUUUUUUAUUCUACUUGUAUAAGGAUGAUACAAUCAUAUACUUGUAUUUUCAUACAGAAAUCUAUCAUUUCAUGUAAACAAAACUUUGCAUUCCAUUUAGAUGUUCAUAUUUUCGUUCAAUUUCAAUCAAUCAUAUUACAGAUUUUGUUAAACCUAAAUAUAUAAGUUGUCUUUAUGACACAAGAGAAAGUUAAAGAUGGAGAUAAGAAUUCACUCUGUUAUCAUGUAGGAUCUGAAGAAAUUCACAUGUUACAGAACAUUGAAUAUCAUUAUAAACAUGGCUUCCAAGAGACUCAGUGUUUUCCUUUUUUCACUAAGGUAAGGUGGGUGUUUUAAAAAAAUAAGUUGCAACCGGGUAGUUUUUUUAAAAAAAUAUCCAACCUUUUUUAAUUUACUGUGGAUGCACGUGGGGGUCACAGAAAUAAAGAUUAGUAUAAUAUUCACAUUUAAUGGAGUUGAACAAACAUAAAUAAAAGUGUCAAAUAUUCUUUGAUUUUAUUUUUUCAAAAAUUUUUCUUUUAUCUCUUCUUUCAAUUACAAUUAUGCACCAGCAUGGAUUUAAGGCCUUUCGAUCCAGGUUUCUGUCCUGUUCCUUGCUUUUGUGCCGUAUUUUUGGCACACAGAGCAGUAGUAUCCUUCCUCUGUAACUAUAAGUCAUUUGAAGUCUUGCUCAUAUUUGUCUUCACUUGCGUGUCUUUUCCGUUGUUUGGUUGAUUUUUGUUCAAUUUCCACAACUUCAACAUUACUAUCAAUUUUAUUUAACUUAUUUGGUCUAGUAUUUUCUUUAUCAUCAUCGUCAUCUGCCUUUUUUUUCCCCCGAUUGAUAAAUGAAAACAUUGAAAUUUGACGAUUGGACGCCAUCUUUGUCAAUGAAAACAAGGCGGGAUUAGUAUUCAAAUUUUAACGGUACGGAACCGAAAAAAAAACGGAUUUUGAAAAAAAAGCCGACCACCUCCUAAAAUUGAAAGGUGGUCGGCUUUCAAAAGAAGGUGGUCGGCACACCCGGCUUAAAUGCCGAAUGGAAAACACUGACUGACUUGAAAGAGAAAAAACUUUUCAUACAGUUAGAUUUAUUGACUACCAAAGUAUUUUUUAUGACAAUCACACAUAUCAAAGUAUUAAACAUAAGAUUAAACAAGCACUAUCAUUUAUUCUACCAUUAUGUAACAGAACUAUUGAGGUUUACAGCAAAUCCGAUGUAUAUUUCUUGCAUUUCUGACUUACAAAAUUUAUAUAGGUCAUAUUUUGGCAACAGAAAUUAUCUGAAGAAAACAAAAGAUUUUGUUGUUCAAUUCAAAGGUAAUAUUUAAAGAUUAUAAAAUAUAAGUUACAGUUAACCUUUAUAAAUCAGUAAUACAUAUAACGAAAUUUAAUUCACCAGUUUAUUGCAAGGAUGCAAAAAGAGUUUGUUUGACUCAAAUAGUUUCUAUAUUUAAUAUAGGUAGUCCUGUAUUUAUGGUUGUCGAACAACUGUGAAUUCUUUUACAAACUUCCACUUAAAUAGGUAAUCCUUUAAAACAAAAGAUGAAAUAGUGUUGCAAUAUUGUGAAAAAGUACUUCCAAAGACACAUAUAAUUAAUCUAUGUAUUUUUUGUAACCUAUUAUUAAGAUAUUCAUAUUUUAUUUCCUACAAAAACAAGUCCCUGAAUUGACUGGUUGACAAAUCGUUAGUGAGAUAGAGAGUGUGAAAUAUGGUGCUGAAGUUUUAUCAGAACUUUAUGUAUGUAUGUGUCUUAAUCUAUGCAAUUAGAUUAAUAAAGCUUAUUGAAAUUAUAA